AGGCCCGUCGUAUAGCGGUCAAGUAUAGCGGGCUUUGGACCCGUUGACACCGGUUCGAAUCCGGUCGGGCCUA
RNAcentral lists this transfer RNA (73 nucleotides) under Candidatus Woesearchaeota archaeon. RNAcentral describes it as "tRNA-Gln". It matches the Rfam family "tRNA". Rfam says of the family: Transfer RNA (tRNA) molecules are approximately 80 nucleotides in length. Their secondary structure includes four short double-helical elements and three loops (D, anti-codon, and T loops). Further hydrogen bonds mediate the characteristic L-shaped molecular structure. tRNAs have two regions of fundamental functional importance: the anti-codon, which is responsible for specific mRNA codon recognition, and the 3' end, to which the tRNAs corresponding amino acid is attached (by aminoacyl-tRNA synthetases). tRNAs cope with the degeneracy of the genetic code in two manners: having more than one tRNA (with a specific anti-codon) for a particular amino acid; and 'wobble' base-pairing, i.e. permitting non-standard base-pairing at the 3rd anti-codon position. The record is from RNAcentral. Lineage: Archaea; Nanobdellati; Candidatus Woesearchaeota.